CCUUUCCCCUAUAUUAUAGCUUUUUGUUUUGAAAAUGAUAAAGUUUUGAAUGCGUUUUUCUCACAUUUACAUUUACAUCGUAGAUAAAAGUUGGUUGCAACACAUGGCAUUUGUUAUCCCACUAAUUUGCUGCUUUAGAGGCACGGCAUUUAGUGCCACAUUGUAGGUUUAAAUUGGUUGUAGAAUUUAUAUUGUAAUUUGCAUAUUUAUUUAGUUGAGUUUAAUCUAAGUUUAUAUUUGAUGUAUUUGUAUUAUUUUAGAAUUUACUGUUUUAGACACGUGACAUGUGGUAUUCCACUGUAAGUUUGAAUUAGUAAAUUUAAAAAAAAUUAUAUUUUAACUUGCAUUUCUUUUGACGUUCAUGUUUAUAUAAUUAGAUUACAACUAAGUUUGUGUAUGGCUUGUUUAUAUUAUUUCAGAAUUUGCUAUUUUAGACACUUGGUAUAAGCUGUCAUACUGUAAGUUUAAAUUGGUUGUAAAAUUUAUAUUGUAACUUGCAUUUCUAUUAGCGUGCAUAUUUAUUUAGUUGAGUUUCAACUCACGGUAGUUUAAAUAUUAGGAAAAGGCGCUAUGUUUAGCUACGCAUGCGUCAAUAUCUUGAAAAAUUUUUUAGAACUUUAAAAAUGGCUGCGGUCCUUAACUACAGCGAACACUUUAAUUGUCAUUCGUUUUGUUUUAGGUUUAUUGAUCGAAUCUAACAAUUUGUAUCUUAUAAUUGAAGUAGCUAAGUAGAUAAAUAACUUAGUUUCUUAAUUGAAAAAUUUAAAUAAGAUGAAAAAGAUCUUUGAGUGUGUUAAACCUUCAAUUUCUGUGAAAGUUAUUUUAGUAUAAAUCAGUAAUUUGUUUAUUUUUUUAAAAAUUGAUUAUCUUAAUUUCUAACCGUAGAAAUUAAAAGAUUUUUUUUUUAAACUUGUAAGCGAUAAGAUUGAAAUUUGUAUCCUCUAUUCAUGGUAGCCUUUUGGUUGUUGCUUCAACUUUUUUUCGGUAUAAAAACAUAAUUUUGCUCGUAUUACUAUAAG
Hydra vulgaris (swiftwater hydra) is the source of this 1019-nucleotide non-coding RNA. NCBI's taxonomy places the organism in Eukaryota, Metazoa, Cnidaria, Hydrozoa, Anthoathecata, Hydridae. The record is from RefSeq and is a predicted model, not a curated record.